Alligator sinensis (Chinese alligator) is the source of this 1650-nucleotide long non-coding RNA. RefSeq lists it as uncharacterized. The record is from RefSeq and is a predicted model, not a curated record. NCBI's taxonomy places the organism in Eukaryota, Metazoa, Chordata, Crocodylia, Alligatoridae. The transcript is spliced from 5 exons.
CUCAGACCAAUGUGAUACCUUGUCUAGCUGCUCAGUGCUGUGCACAGUGAUCUAAACUUCUUGGAAAAUAACAUGGAGUUUGCACAAAAAAGGAGGUCACCAAUCCAGCUCCAGCUCAUAGCUUUCAAAGCCCUCAACAGACCUUAUGAACAACUCGGGGCUCAGCGCGUGUAAGUCUGUCACUGCCAAAUAAAACAUUCAGAGCACUUCAGCACAUAUAAGCAGCAGCCACACAACAAGCAAGAACUGAGGAGGCAAUCAAUCACAAGAGAAAAACCUGGCUGGCUGGGCCAUGCACAGAGCUUCCUGGAUGUUUGUGGGGAGACCAGAGGUUAUGUGAAGAGGACAAACAGAAUGAAAAAUCCUCCCUGGCCUGAUUGAGAAUGACAGAUUUGUGAAGUGAAAUUCAUUGGCUCAUCUACGAAAGGUGUUUUGUAAACUCCCUUUGACAAUUAGAAUUGAGAGAUCGGAGAAAGAGUGGUUAUCUUGUGAGAAAUGUGCCGCACAGUGCUGAACAACAAGGUGGAUUAUGAAGUCCUAAGUGUUCACAUGGAGAAGGCCAAGGAGCUCUAGCCGCUCCUUCAGGAAGAAGAAAAAGAAAACAAACAGAAGUACUGGCGGAUCUGUAAGCAUCCACCGUCUGGCAGUGGACUUGGCAGCACGUGGAUUUUCUUUGGAGGUUAUUAAUCCUCAAUUCCCUCCUUGAGUGUCACAGGCGAAUGCUGGAGUCAGACAGGCAAACGCCAGUCUAGGCAUCAUGCAAAUGAGACAGCACCUUCCAAACAUCAAUAAACGGGUCCCUGAAGAGAUGCUCACAAUGGCACAUAUUUUGCCUUCCCCACCUCUUCCAACUUGAAUUCUUCAAACUCAUAAAUACGCAAGUGAGAGUGCUCCAUGUUUGGUUUUUUUGUUCCCUCAUCUUUGUUUCAACAAAUCCUACAAACCCCUCCGUGCAGAACCUCCAGAAUCAGAACCUGAGAAUGAGAACUCUUCAGGACAAGAACCAGGUUUAUUAUGUGUUUCUGUAACAUUAAACAGUAGAGCACUGUUCCCUGUAGAUUUGGGGCACUAGCUUAAUGCUAAAAAAAGACCCUACACACUCUGCAAAGUAUAUAGUAAGCCUGCAACCAUUCACUAUUUCACAAAUGAUAUAAAUCCCUUAUAAUUUAAUUGGUUGGAUGUUUACAUCCAUUAGGAAGAUUUAAGAUUGUAAUUUUAACUUCUCUAUUUGCCAGCACAGAAAUACUCUGCAGACAAAAACUACAUAACAGUGUCUGGAAGUAUCUUUGAAAUGAAAGGGGAAGAAAUACAAGAGAUAAGUUGUAGUUGGUGAGAGACCAAUAAACACACUGUAAAUUAUAAAGGUUUGAACAUGAAACACUCAGCCUUGCCUGGCUAUUCCAGAAAUGGAAAAAGAGAGAGGCUCUUAACAUCCAAAUAGGGUGAGAAGACAAUGUUCCAACAAAUGGAUCAAAAGUGGGAAACAAAUGUUUUUCAUGUCCAACUAGUUUUGAAAAUGAAAACUGGGUUAGAGAAAGGAAUUAAAACAUGGAAAGCUGAAAAAGAUUCCCAUGAUGUUUUAUAGUUUCACUUAAAUCCACAUUAUGUUCUGCUGUCAGGAAACAUCCUGUGUAUUUUCUGUGGCUUACA